UGAGGAAUAUUGGUCAAUGGGCGAGAGCCUGAACCAGCCAAGUAGCGUGCAGGAUGACUGCCCUAUGGGUUGUAAACUGCUUUUAUGCGGGGAUAAAGUGCGGCACGUGUGCCUUUUUGUAUGUACCAGUAUGAAUAAGGACCGGCUAAUUCCGUG
Molecule: ribosomal RNA, 156 nt
Filed under: uncultured bacterium
Lineage: Bacteria
Description: partial 16S ribosomal RNA
Rfam family: Bacterial small subunit ribosomal RNA
Source: RNAcentral